RNAcentral lists this ribosomal RNA (494 nucleotides) under uncultured bacterium. Its description in RNAcentral is "partial 16S ribosomal RNA". It matches the Rfam family "Bacterial small subunit ribosomal RNA", at positions 28 to 507 of the family's 1533-position model. The record is from RNAcentral.
GACGAACGCUGGCGGCGCGCUUAACACAUGCAAGUCGAACGGAAAGGCCUGCUUUCCCUUGUGGAUUGCGGGUACUCGAGUGGCGAACGGGUGAGUAACACGUGAGUGAUCUGCCCCCAACUUGGGUCUAAGCCUGGGAAACUGGGUCUAAUUCCCGAUAGGACUGCAGGGUGGUGCCUGUGGUGGAAAACGAUUUUCUAGUGGUUGGGGAUGAGCGCGCGGCCUAUCAGCUUGUUGGUGGGGUAAUGGCCUACCACGGCGGCGACGGGUAGCCGGCCUGAGAGGGUGGACGGCCACAUUGGGACUGAGAUACGGCCCAGACGCCUACGGGAGGCAGCAGUGGGGAAUAUUGCACAAUGGGCGGAAGCCUGAUGCAGCGACGCCGCGUGGGGGAUGACGGCCUUCGGGUUGUAAACUCCUUUCGACCGCGAGGAAGCCACCUGGUUGGAAGGGUGGUGACGGUAGUGGUAGAAGAAGCACCGGCUAACUACGUG